ACAUCAUCCGCUCGAAUAUUGUCAUGUGCUGAAGAUGGUACGUACUUUUAUGCGCACGUCACUAAAAGGUUACUAAAUAAAUUGGCUCCUUGGCUUUCAGUGAGCAAGCAUUUACUUACUUAAAGUAACAUUCUCAAUCGCUUAAAGUUCGAAAAUACACAAUGCCAGAUCCAGCUUGCAAGUGCGGUGAUUCUAAAUGCAACUGCCAGACUAAGUGCACUUGUUCCAGUGGCGGAUGCAAAUGCGACAAGUGCCACUGCAAAUGUAAAGAAGGUGGAAGCUGCUCUUGCAGUUCUUGCAGCUGUAAAUGAAGCGAAACUGUGGACUGCUUCUAAAGAAACUGUAAAGUUUCAUAACAAUGCAUUUAAUUUGCAGACCUCAAUAUGGCUGCCUUUUGUCACGUGUAAUUUUAUUUGUAAUUUUUGAAAUAAAAUAUUUUUAAUAUGUUUCAAAGCUA
Centruroides sculpturatus (bark scorpion) is the source of this 457-nucleotide long non-coding RNA. RefSeq lists it as uncharacterized. The record is from RefSeq and is a predicted model, not a curated record. Lineage: Eukaryota; Metazoa; Arthropoda; Arachnida; Scorpiones; Buthidae. The transcript is spliced from 3 exons.